GAUGAAGAACGUAGCGAAAUGCGAUACGUAAUGUGAAUUGCAGAUUUCAGUGAAUCAUCGAAUCUUUGAACGCACAUUGCGCCCGCCAGUAUUCUGGCGGGCAUGCCUGUUCGAGCGUCAUUUCAACCAUCAAGCCUUCGCUUGUGUUGGGGCCCCGCGGCUGCCGCGGUCCCCUAAAUCCAGUGGCGGGCUCGUCGUCGCACCGAGCGCAGUAGACAUCCUCGCUCCGGGAACCCGACGGGUGCCGGCCGUGAAACCCCCCACAUCAAGGUUGACCUCGGAUCAGGUAGGAAUACCCGCUGAACUUAAGCAUAUCAAUAAGCGGAGGA
This 329-nucleotide unclassified non-coding RNA is filed under the name soil metagenome. RNAcentral describes it as "partial contains 5.8S ribosomal RNA, internal transcribed spacer 2, and large subunit ribosomal RNA". The stretch from base 1 to 120 matches the Rfam family "5.8S ribosomal RNA", at positions 35 to 154 of the family's 154-position model. The record is from RNAcentral.